Molecule: ribosomal RNA, 465 nt
Filed under: Vreelandella stevensii
Lineage: Bacteria; Pseudomonadati; Pseudomonadota; Gammaproteobacteria; Oceanospirillales; Halomonadaceae
Description: partial 16S ribosomal RNA
Rfam family: Bacterial small subunit ribosomal RNA
Source: RNAcentral
CCUACGGGCGGCAGCAGUGGGGAAUAUUGGACAAUGGGGGCAACCCUGAUCCAGCCAUGCCGCGUGUGUGAAGAAGGCCCUCGGGUUGUAAAGCACUUUCAGUGAGGAAGAACGCCUGGUGGUUAAUACCCAUCAGGAAAGACAUCACUCACAGAAGAAGCACCGGCUAACUCCGUGCCAGCAGCCGCGGUAAUACGGAGGGUGCGAGCGUUAAUCGGAAUUACUGGGCGUAAAGCGCGCGUAGGUGGCUUGAUAAGCCGGUUGUGAAAGCCCCGGGCUCAACCUGGGAACGGCAUCCGGAACUGUCAAGCUAGAGUGCAGGAGAGGAAAGUAGAAUUCCCGGUGUAGCGGUGAAAUGCGUAGAGAUCGGGAGGAAUACCAGUGGCGAAGGCGGCCUUCUGGACUGACACUGACACUGAGGUGCGAAAGCGUGGGUAGCAAACAGGAUUAGAUACCCUAGUAGUC